Molecule: ribosomal RNA, 253 nt
Filed under: uncultured bacterium
Lineage: Bacteria
Description: partial 16S ribosomal RNA
Rfam family: Bacterial small subunit ribosomal RNA
Source: RNAcentral
UACAUAGGGGGCGAGCGUUGUUCGGAAUUACUGGGCGUAAAGGGCGCGUAGGCGGCCCGCUAAGUCGAACGUGAAAUCCCCAGGCUCAACCUGGGAACUGCGUCCGAUACUGGCAGGCUUGAAUCCGGGAGAGGGAUGUGGAAUUCCAGGUGUAGCGGUGAAAUGCGUAGAUAUCUGGAGGAACACCGGUGGCGAAGGCGGCAUCCUGGACCGGUAUUGACGCUGAGGCGCGAAAGCUAGGGGAGCAAACGGG